This 253-nucleotide ribosomal RNA is filed under the name uncultured bacterium. RNAcentral describes it as "partial 16S ribosomal RNA". It matches the Rfam family "Bacterial small subunit ribosomal RNA", at positions 524 to 776 of the family's 1533-position model. The record is from RNAcentral.
AACGUAGGAGGCAAGCGUUAUCCGGAGUUACUGGGCGUAAAGCGUGCGUAGGCGGGUUGGUAAGUGGGUGGUGAAAGCGCUCGGCUAAACCGGGCGAGUGCCAUCCAGACUGCCAGUCUAGAGGCGGAUAGAGGGGUGCGGAAUUCCGGGUGUAGCGGUGAAAUGUGUAGAUAUCGUAAGGAAGACCAGUGGCGAAGGCGGGUCUCUGGACAGUUCCUGACGCUGAGGCACGAAGGUCAGGGGAGCAAACGGG